Molecule: ribosomal RNA, 200 nt
Filed under: uncultured eukaryote
Lineage: Eukaryota
Description: partial 18S ribosomal RNA
Rfam family: Eukaryotic small subunit ribosomal RNA
Source: RNAcentral
GCUCCAAUAGCGUAUAUUAAAGUUGUUGCAGUUAAAAGGCUCGUAGUCGAAUGUAUGACCUGUGAACCUGGCCACCUCUAGUAGGGCGAGCGCCGGUGUGCACGGGGUCAUCCUUCUGGAGAGCACUUCUGCCUUCAUCGGGUUGGUUGUGUAAUUCAGAUCAUUUACUGUGAGAAAAUCAGAGUGUUCAAAGCAGGCUU